This 492-nucleotide ribosomal RNA is filed under the name uncultured bacterium. RNAcentral describes it as "partial 16S ribosomal RNA". It matches the Rfam family "Bacterial small subunit ribosomal RNA", at positions 29 to 507 of the family's 1533-position model. The record is from RNAcentral.
AGUGAACGCUGGCGGUAGGCCUAACACAUGCAAGUCGAACGGCAGCACAGUAAGAGCUUGCUCUUACGGGUGGCGAGUGGCGGACGGGUGAGGAAUACAUCGGAAUCUACUUUUUCGUGGGGGAUAACGUAGGGAAACUUACGCUAAUACCGCAUAUGACCUACGGGUGAAAGCAGGGGAUCUUCGGACCUUGCGCGAUUGAAUGAGCCGAUGUCGGAUUAGCUAGUUGGCGGGGUAAAGGCCCACCAAGGCGACGAUCCGUAGCUGGUCUGAGAGGAUGAUCAGCCACACUGGAACUGAGACACGGUCCAGACUCCUACGGGAGGCAGCAGUGGGGAAUAUUGGACAAUGGGGUCAAACCUGAUCCAGCCAUGCCGCGUGGGUGAAGAAGGCCUUCGGGUUGUAAAGCCCUUUUGUUAGGAAAGAAAAGAAGCAGGUGAAUACCCCGCUGUUCUGACGGUACCCAAAGAAUAAGCACCGGCUAACUUCGUG